UGGGGCUUAUUUCAUCCCUACAGCUUUGACC
RNAcentral lists this non-coding RNA (31 nucleotides) under Homo sapiens (human). The record is from RNAcentral. Lineage: Eukaryota; Metazoa; Chordata; Mammalia; Primates; Hominidae.